This is a long non-coding RNA of Cygnus olor (mute swan), 3294 nucleotides long. RefSeq lists it as uncharacterized. The transcript is spliced from 3 exons. The record is from RefSeq and is a predicted model, not a curated record. Lineage: Eukaryota; Metazoa; Chordata; Aves; Anseriformes; Anatidae.
UUUUAUUUCUAUAAAUACUAUUUCUUUGAUAAUAAAUAAUUUAGCACAAGGCUAACAAGCAGCAAUGAAUGGUCCCUAAAAUAACCCCAUGUUUAAAACUAGCACAUUGACACUGUAAAUUGAUGAGGGUGAUAGUUUUCCCAAAAAAAUCUCAAGAUUGCAGUUAGCAGUGGGAACUAUACUUCUGCAUGUGGCAAUCAUUUAUGAUUGUGUUAGAGCAUUCUGCUUUUGUGGUUAAUGGACUUGACUCCAGUUCCUGUUCUGCUCAGGCUCCCUCAUGUCUAAACUAACAGACCUGUACUGAAGUCAUUGGUGUCACCCAGAAUUUCACUGGGCUAAUUAUGAACAAUUUUGAACCCCUAUGGGUGUUACAGAAAGAAAUAUUGGCUUCCCAAUCCCAAAAAGAGAGAAACAACUUUAGUCUAUUCUCUUAAAUAAAUUAGGCUUUUGUGGUUACACACCAUGAGUAUGUGAGUGCAGAAAUGAUCUCAAAGGUCCAACAUUAAGUUCCAUGAAUACUCCACAAAUAUUAGCUCUUGGAAAGAAGACGAUUUUACUGCUAUAUCAGGAGGAAGCGUAACUGAACUCAGCAGGCCAUGGACAAAUGUGAGUCCAUGUGGUGAGAUACUAUAAAUGCCUUAACCAUGGGAUUAGAGUCAAUUGUAGUUUGCACUUAGAAGGCACCGGAAAAAAGAAACAGUCAAAAUAUUUAAGAUCAUGUGAAGACAGACUUCAUGGGCUCUUCUUUUCUGCAAGAGACAUAAAUUCAUCUCUUGUUCAACAUGGACAAGAGGCUACAAGACUGGACUGUCUUGGGAGCCAGUGGUAUGCCAGUAAAACACAGACUAUUUAACGGCCUUGGACCUGCUCCUCCUUCUCUAUAUCUUUCUUCUUUGGUGUUCCUGGCUCUCUAGAUAAUCUUGGUUUGUUUAUCAGAGCCUCAUGAAACCACAUUUCAGAAGGCAUACAUAACUCCGUUCUGCUCUCUGGAUUAACCUCAAAAGCAGUGCAAAUUGUUCAAUACCUUCCCCCAGAGGUUGCAAGAGUCUUCCUUUCUUGAAGACAUCUGUGUAAAAUUACACACGUGCUAGUGAUCUCAACAAGAACAACAUUUGUUAAAAACAAGGUGAAAAUUCAUUGAAAACAAAAGAAAUGUGUAUUUUGCCCUAAUUUAUCAGUUAUACUUCUGAUUGACUAUAUUAGAUAAGACACUCUCAACUAAGUUUCACAGAGGAAAAAAAAAAUUAGAAAUAAGUAGAUUAGCGAACAGCUUGCUUCAGUCUCCAGAGGGUUCUCUUGUUGCACAGCCAGACUGACAGUGUUGAGGCCACUGGCUCUCUGAACUAGUUUCCCCAGCCACUUAUCUGCAUAAGUUUGUAAACUCAUCGCUUCCUCUAGGACAAGUAGAACCCUUCACACUCCCAAACCAGCAUUAGUAAAAGCGGAGUUAUGAGAUGUAUAGGCAGUUGGUUUCAUUUGAUGCUUGUGCUAACACGUUAUCACUGAGUCACUGCUUGGCAGGGUCACAGUGGGAACCUGGGCUCUGUGGAAGUGGACGGGGGAUGCUCCAGUGAAAGACUCUUUAAUUAUGGAAAAAAACAGCCUCUUGAAAGUAUAAUGAUGAUUUCGGAGUCUCCAUUCUCAGGUUUGUUUCUUUGUUUGAACCUUGUUACAAACACCUCCAAACAAUUAUUUCUUCAUCCCCGAAAUAAAAACUGUUUUGUAAUUUGAAUAUUUAAAAACAAAACAAAACAAACAAAAAAAAAGCACAUAUAUAUUUCUAUGAGGAUUUUACUGAGGUAAAGCCAUAAAAAAGAUGAGUGCUCUGUAUAAUUCUAAAAUCUGCAAAGAUAGAAUCAUUUCUUGUGUCUCCUGUGGGGGAGGUAACCAAGCUGGGCACUUACCGUGAUGCUGAAAGGGUUUCCUUCCUCUUCCUCACACUUCCCCAAUUACCAUGGUCUGGUAGAGUCCAUGCACUCAAGGGUCAAAUCACUAAAUCAUGGCCAUAUGUCAUACUUAGAGCAGGACUGCAUCUACCCCUGCAGGUCCCACUGAUUCCACUUCCAUUUCUCUUCUGCAUGCAAAAACCUUUCUUUGGUGUCUGACAGUUCCCUCGGUCGAGCAGAACAGCCGUCAAGGGAGUUUGUUUGUGAAGAAACAAAAAUGAGUCACAGGCUAAAGAUUAAUUUAAUAAUCUAGAAACAGAUGCCCUUGAGGAUGUGUGGUCUAGUAGAGGAAACAGCAACUUCUAUGAUGCCUGUCUUUCUCCCAGCAAAAAUCACCUCUGUCUUGCUUCCGUGUGGCUUUGCCAGCUUGUCUUAAGGUAGGUACAGGUUUUGCCAGUUUAGAGACGUCUAGGCACAAAGAAAAUCUGUAAUUGUAGCAUUUCAGUCCUUUGAAUGAUUUUUUCUGUUUACAAAACUGCUUCAUUUCCAUGGAGCUCUACCAAAACAGAGUCUGUGCCUCUUUUCCAAGAUGGAUGUUGUUUCAUCACCUCUCUUUGAUGUUCUGUCAUGAAUAAGGUCUGCUCAGAAGAGCUAUCAAGCAAACAGCAUGUGAAGAGAAGAGAAGAGAAGAGAAGAGAAGAAUUAUCAAAGUACUUAAAAUGUGUUCAGCUAUGUCUGAUACCUAAUAACAUAUAUAUUGAUAUCCCAAAUUAAGAGCUAUACCUUCAAAUGUAGCUCUUUGUGAGCUUAUGCAGACAAUAGAAAUUCUGUUUGUUCACUAACCUUAAUGCUUAUGUACAGCAUUGCUCUGCACUGAUAUGAGAUUACAGUACACUACUGGUGCCAACAUUUGGGGUUGAAGAAAUUUAUUGAUCUGUAAGAUGUGAACUGAAAAUAGUUCAGAUGUGGCUGCUUUUGACUGUCAUUGUUGCAUAAGUAGUUUCAGGAAGACCUUGCAGUGAUGUCCUAACCAAAGGUCUCAGACUUUUUUGUCAAGAACACCAGUAAAAUCCCUGCCAAUAAAUAAAUAAACAAACAAACAAACAAACUGUUGUCACAUUUUCAUUCCAAUAUUUUGGCAGUUGUCAUUUUGCAUGUUGUAAGCCAAAAGCAUUGAAGAAUUAGAAUCUCUUCCUGUUUAACAUCUUACAUGUCUUUAAAUCACAAAAAAGAAAAAAGAAGAAAAACAAAACAGAUAACAACCAAACCCCUAUUUUUAGUCAGAUACAUAUUUGGGAUUUUUUUGAACAAGACUGCAUUUUGAACAUCAAAGUUUACUGAGAAUUAGGAUUAAUUUGCUAGUGGAAAAAGAGUUGUAGCUUUUAUACUAAGCAUUCAACAGGUAAGG